Non-coding RNA from Rattus norvegicus (Norway rat), 659 nucleotides. NCBI's taxonomy places the organism in Eukaryota, Metazoa, Chordata, Mammalia, Rodentia, Muridae. The record is from RefSeq and is a predicted model, not a curated record.
GCAUUUUAGGCUAUUGUAUACCUCCACCCUCAGUAUAACUUUUGAGAUUCAAAGACACUCAUUAAAGAAUCUCAUCUGGACCCUGGAGCUAGUGGAACACUGAGCAAGGAUGGGCUCUCAUCUCCAGCCUUCAGAACACUUGCCCAGCCUUUGCCUUUUUGGUCUUUGACUAACAGAGGAAGCAAAAAUAUUGUGAAGGAAAGCAUCAGCACUGAAUUCUAGCCAGCAGAUGGGCUGAGACCUGAUCCUAAAUCUCCAGUUCUGACAUGGAUACCAUGUAAGGAGGACUCUUUGGGACAUAGUGACUAUCAAGACCUAGAGGGAUGACACCAUAAGAUUGUGAAGCAGUGCAAUUAUUCAGGUUACCCAUGAGGAACUGCUGAGGAAUCUAAGAUCAUUGGAGCUCAAGCAGGCAGGAGCUCCUUGGCAACUGUGAUGAUGUUUUAAGACUCUGCAUGGCUGACCUACUUUGGAGGACCCUCAGGAGCUGUCAGGCUCUACUAAUAAGGCUUCACUGGCUGGAGUGCAACUAAUGGGAAGAAUGUUCGCUCAGCACGAGCAAAGCUCUAAGUUCCAUUCCCAGCACCAGAAGAAAUUAGACACCAACAAUAGCACUGACAGCAGCAGCAGCAGCAGCAGCAGCAGCAGCAGCAGCAACA